RNAcentral lists this ribosomal RNA (253 nucleotides) under uncultured bacterium. RNAcentral describes it as "partial 16S ribosomal RNA". It matches the Rfam family "Bacterial small subunit ribosomal RNA", at positions 524 to 776 of the family's 1533-position model. The record is from RNAcentral.
UACGUAGGGUCCGAGCGUUGUCCGGAAUUACUGGGCGUAAAGAGCUCGUAGGUGGUUUGUCGCGUUGUUCGUGAAAACUCACAGCUCAACUGUGGGCGUGCGGGCGAUACGGGCAGACUAGAGUACUGCAGGGGAGACUGGAAUUCCUGGUGUAGCGGUGGAAUGCGCAGAUAUCAGGAGGAACACCGAUGGCGAAGGCAGGUCUCUGGGCCGCAACUGACGCUGAGGAGCGAAAGCAUGGGGAGCGAACAGG